Molecule: ribosomal RNA, 223 nt
Filed under: Paragalago zanzibaricus (Zanzibar galago)
Lineage: Eukaryota; Metazoa; Chordata; Mammalia; Primates; Galagidae
Description: partial 16S ribosomal RNA
Source: RNAcentral
CCCUAUGGAGCUUAAAUUUAACACCCACAUUUUAUACUACAACUCCCCAGAGCAUAACAUCCUAACACCUGGGUACACAAUUUUGGUUGGGGUGACCUCGGAGCACAAACCAACCUCCGAGAAUUCUUCACUUAGACUCUACCAGUCAAAGUUCACAAACAUUACAUAUACAUUGACCCAAAUAUUGAUCAACGGAACAAGUUACCCUAGGGAUAACAGCGCA